RNAcentral lists this unclassified non-coding RNA (354 nucleotides) under Hevea brasiliensis (rubber tree). Lineage: Eukaryota; Viridiplantae; Streptophyta; Magnoliopsida; Malpighiales; Euphorbiaceae. The record is from RNAcentral.
UUGGGUUUGAUAUGCUAGCACAAUAGCCGAAAAAACAUGAAACCAAUUGAAACACCUGAAAACUUGCCAACUGAUGGGUGCUUUCAUAUAGUGUAAAAUUCCACAACCACAUUCAUUGAUACAAAUUGCAGACAAACAUUAUUUCUUAAACUGUUGCUUUAGAUUUAACUGAUUAAUACAUGAGAAUUUAUGUAGCUGAACCUAUUUUAGUGCUAUCGUGAUUUCUUCCAGUGUUACCAUGGACUGCCUGUGAUCAUCAGAUACCCGAACAUAUAUUUGCACACAUUCAAUAAGUAUUCUUUGAAGGAAGUUUUGAAUUUCAUAUUUAUACCUUCCUUUCUUAUCUCCUUACCC